Molecule: long non-coding RNA, 1388 nt
Filed under: Papio anubis (olive baboon)
Lineage: Eukaryota; Metazoa; Chordata; Mammalia; Primates; Cercopithecidae
Description: lncRNA (ENSPANG00000043283.1)
Source: RNAcentral
GAAAUAUGUUAAUUACUUUUAAAUGCUAGAUUUAGAUUAUGUAUUUGUAGUCUCAUACACUAUUCAUACAGGAUUUUUGCAUUUGUUUCUUUUCCAAUAAAAGAAUUGAAAAAAAUUACCUAAGUUAUUAAUCCUUAUUGGAAUGCAGCUGAAAACUUAAUAUGAAAUUGGAUGUCUCAACUAACAUGCUUAAUUAAGGACAAAGAACAUGAGUUCUUCUCUAUUACACUUAGUCUCAGCAACAAUAUGAAAAUCAGGAAAAUAUAUCUUGAGAUUUCAAAAGCGGAUGCAUACCCCAGAUUCUCCAACCUCAGAAAAGCAGUGGGCCUACAGUCGUGGGAGCCAAAGGUCCCCUUGCACUCAGCAUGACGUCUACCUUUUCUUCCACUUCUGCUCUGCCUGCUGCUGGAAAACCCACUCUUUACUCUGAAACACACAAAACUGCUCGUGUGUGGGCACCUUCUUCCACUUUUCCCUGUUUCUAAGUUCAUGUAACUGAAUCUAGGUUUCUCAUGGAUUGUAUUCAAGUAUUUAAAAAUGGUAGAAUUCGGCUGGGAGCGGUGGCUCAAGCCUGUAAUCCCAGCACUUUGGGAGGCCCAGACGGGUGGAUCACGAGGUCAGGAGAUCGAGACCAUCCUGGCUAACACGGUGAAACUCCGUCUCUACUAAAAAAAAUACAAAAAACUAGCCAAGCGUGGUGGCGGGCGCCUGUAGUCCCAGCUACUCGGGAGGUUGAGGCAGGAGAAUGAUGUAAACCCGGGAGGCGGAGCUUGCAGUGAGCUGUGAUCGAGUCACCGCACUCCAGCCUGGGCGACAGAGCGAGACUCCAUCUCAAAAAAGAAAAAAAAAAGGGGGGUAGAAUUCAAUGUGUUAGUUGUAUUUUCCCUUGUUCUUCAUUUUCUGUCAAAAGCAGAGGUUUUCAAUCUACAGUUCUCAUGCCAAAUGAUCCUGACCUUUUUUUGUAAAGGUCUUAAGCUAAGAGCUUCUUUUAUAUUUUUAAAGGGUUGGAAAAGAAGAGGAGGCAGAAGAGGAAGAAAGACAGGAAGAAGGAGAAAAAUAAGAAGGGGAAGAGAAAGGGGAGGAAGCAGAGGAAGAAGAAGAGGCUGCCACAGUGUCGGGACAGAGAUGGUUACUCAGGUCUACGAUUGAAGGUAUAUAUGGCCAUCAAAUCCAGUGAAGCCUUCUGCCAGUAGGGCCUGAACAGCUGAAUGUUAAACCCUGUUUCUGAAGAAUUGGCAUGUCUGCUUUCUAACAUGCACAGUGACAAGUUAACUGGGGUAGGGCAAGAGGCUGAAGGACCUACUGCAAGUUAAAACCUAAAAUAAACAGAAUAGAGUCACUAGUGGAUACUUUAAAAAGGAAUUUAUGGCCAAUUUCCUCAUUUCCCC